Molecule: ribosomal RNA, 945 nt
Filed under: Acinetobacter johnsonii
Lineage: Bacteria; Pseudomonadati; Pseudomonadota; Gammaproteobacteria; Moraxellales; Moraxellaceae
Description: bacterial SSU rRNA
Rfam family: Bacterial small subunit ribosomal RNA
Source: RNAcentral
GAUGAACGCUGACAGAAUGCUUAACACAUGCAAGUCAACUUGAACUUCGGUUUGGGUGGCGGACGGGUGAGUAACGCGUAAAGAACUUGCCUCACAGAUAGGGACAACAUUUGGAAACGAAUGCUAAUACCUGAUAUUAUGAUUUUAGGGCAUCCUAGGAUUAUGAAAGCUAUAUGCGCUGUGAGAGAGCUUUGCGUCCCAUUAGCUAGUUGGAGAGGUAACGGCUCACCAAGGCGAUGAUGGGUAGCCGGCCUGAGAGGGCGAUCGGCCACAAGGGGACUGAGACACGGCCCUUACUCCUACGGGAGGCAGCAGUGGGGAAUAUUGGACAAUGGACCAAGAGUCUGAUCCAGCAAUUCUGUGUGCACGAUGAAGUUUUUCGGAAUGUAAAGUGCUUUCAGUUGGGAAGAAAAAAAUGACGGUACCGACAGAAGAAGUGACGGCUAAAUACGUGCCAGCAGCCGCGGUAAUACGUAUGUCACAAGCGUUAUCCGGAUUUAUUGGGCGUAAAGCGCGUCUAGGUGGUUAUAUAAGUCUGAUGUGAAAAUGCAGGGCUCAACUCUGUAUUGCGUUGGAAACUGUGUAACUAGAGUACUGGAGAGGUAAGCGGAACUACAAGUGUAGAGGUGAAAUUCGUAGAUAUUUGUAGGAAUGCCGAUGGGGAAGCCAGCUUACUGGACAGAUACUGACGCUCAAGCGCGAAGCGUGGGUAGCACACACGAUUAUAUACCCUGGUAGUCCAAGGGCGAAUUCCACAGUGGAUAUCAAGCUUAUCGAUAUCGUCGACCUCGAGGGGGGGCCCGGUACCAGCUACGUUCCCUUUAGAGAGAGUUAAUUGCGCGCUUGCCUAUCAGGUCUAACUGUUUCCAGCGUAAUCAUGGUCUAGAUUGUUUCCUUUGUGGGGAAGAUGCAGUAUUUGUAUAUCUGAUCGGUCGGUGAUCUCCU